This 253-nucleotide ribosomal RNA is filed under the name uncultured bacterium. RNAcentral describes it as "partial 16S ribosomal RNA". It matches the Rfam family "Bacterial small subunit ribosomal RNA", at positions 524 to 776 of the family's 1533-position model. The record is from RNAcentral.
UACGGGGGGGGCAAGCGUUGUUCGGAAUUACUGGGCGUAAAGGGCUCGUAGGCGGCCAACUAAGUCAGACGUGAAAUCCCUCGGCUUAACCGGGGAACUGCGUCUGAUACUGGAUGGCUAGAGUUUGGGAGAGGGAUGCGGAAUUCCAGGUGUAGCGGUGAAAUGCGUAGAUAUCUGGAGGAACACCAAUGGCGAAGGCAGCUCUCUGGGACGGUACUGACGCUGAGACGCGAAAGCGUGGGGAGCGAACAGG